This 754-nucleotide ribosomal RNA is filed under the name uncultured archaeon. RNAcentral describes it as "bacterial SSU rRNA". It matches the Rfam family "Archaeal small subunit ribosomal RNA", at positions 102 to 859 of the family's 1478-position model. The record is from RNAcentral.
GGAGAACUUGCCCUACGCUGGAGAAUAAUCUCGGGAAACUGAGGACAAUGCUCCAUAGCCUCGCCGUCCUGGAACGGUGGUGAGGUCAAAGCUCCGGCGGCGUAGGAUAGCUCUGCGGCCUAUCAGGUUGUAGCGAGGGUAACGUCCUCGCUAGCCUACGACGGGUAUGGGUGUUGGGAGACAUCGCCCAGAGAUGGAUUCUGAGACACGAAUCCAGGCCCUACGGGGCGCAGCAGGCGCGAAAACUGCACAAUGUGGGAAACCACGAUGCGGGAAACCCAAGUGCCAGCGCUAUGCGUUGGCUGUCCUCCAGUGUUCGUAACUGGGGAAGAAAGUGCUGGGUAAGACGGGUGCCAGCCGCCGCGGUAAUACCCGCAGCACAAGUGGUGGUCAUUAUUAUUGGGCCUAAAGCGUCCGUAGCUGGCUUGUUAGAUGCCUGGGUAAAUCGAUGCGCUCAACGUAUCGAACUCCGGGUAGACCGGCAAGCUUGGGACCGGGAGAGGCGUGAGCUACUCGAGGGGUAGGGGUAAAAUCCUGUAAUCCUUCGGGGAGGACCAGUGGCGAAGGCGUCACGCUAGAACGGCUCCGACAGUGAGGGACGAAGCCCUGGGGCGCAAACCGGAUUAGAUACCCGGGUAGUCCAGGGUGUAAACGCUGCAGACUUGGUGUCGGUGAUCCUACGAGGGUUGCCGGUGCCGUAGAGAAGUUGUUUAGUCUGCCGCCUGGGGAGUACGGUCGCAAGACUGAAACUUAA